CUAGCACAGCCUAGUGGGAGAUACACCUGUACCCAUGCCGAACACAGCAGUUAAGCCCUAGAACGCCUGAAGUAGUUGGGGGUUGCCCCCUGUUAGAUACGGUAGUCGCUUAGC
This 114-nucleotide ribosomal RNA is filed under the name Streptococcus suis. The record is from RNAcentral. Lineage: Bacteria; Bacillati; Bacillota; Bacilli; Lactobacillales; Streptococcaceae.